AUGAUCUGAAGUCAGGUGGGAUUACCCGCUGAACUUAAGCAUAUCAAGAAGC
Molecule: ribosomal RNA, 52 nt
Filed under: Rhizopus arrhizus
Lineage: Eukaryota; Fungi; Mucoromycota; Mucoromycetes; Mucorales; Rhizopodaceae
Description: Rhizopus oryzae partial 28S ribosomal RNA
Source: RNAcentral